UAGGGAAUUUUCGUCAAUGGGCACAAGCCUGAACGAGCGAUGCCGCGUGAGUGAAGAAGGCCUUCGGGUCGUAAAGCUCUGUUGCGGGGGAAAAAAGGCAGCAUCAGGAAAUGGGUGCUGACUGAUGGUGCCCCGCCAGAAAGUCACGGCUAACUACGUGCC
Molecule: ribosomal RNA, 162 nt
Filed under: uncultured bacterium
Lineage: Bacteria
Description: partial 16S ribosomal RNA
Rfam family: Bacterial small subunit ribosomal RNA
Source: RNAcentral